UGGGGGAUUUUGGACAAUGGGCGCAAGCCUGAUCCAGCAAUGCCGCGUGCAGGAUGAAGGCCUUCGGAUUGUAAACUGCUUUUGUACGGAACGAAACGGUCUUUUCUAAUACAGAAGGCUAAUGACGGUACCGUAAGAAUAAGCACCGGCUAACUACGUGCCAGCAGCCGCGGUAAUACGUAGGGUGCGAGCGUUAAUCGGAAUUACUGGGCGUAAAGCGUGCGCAGGCGGUUUUGCAAGACAGAGGUGAAAUCCCCGGGCUCAACCUGGGAAUUGCAUUUGUAACUGCAAGGCUAGAGUGCGGCAGAGGGGGAUGGAAUUCCGCGUGUAGCAGUGAAAUGCGUAGAGAUGCGGAGGAACACCGAUGGCGAAGGCAGUCCCCUGGGAUUGCACUGACGCUCAUGCACGAAAGCGUGGGUAGCAAACA
Molecule: ribosomal RNA, 427 nt
Filed under: uncultured bacterium
Lineage: Bacteria
Description: bacterial SSU rRNA
Rfam family: Bacterial small subunit ribosomal RNA
Source: RNAcentral